RNAcentral lists this ribosomal RNA (564 nucleotides) under uncultured bacterium. RNAcentral describes it as "partial 16S ribosomal RNA". It matches the Rfam family "Bacterial small subunit ribosomal RNA", at positions 355 to 1375 of the family's 1533-position model. The record is from RNAcentral.
UGGGGAAUUUUACACAAUGGGCGAAAGCCUGAUGUAGCAACGCCGCGUGGAGGAUGACGGAUCUAGGUCUGUAAACUCCUUUUAUAAGGGAAGAAAUUUGACGGUACCUUAUGAAUAAGCACCGGCUAACUCCGUGCCAGCAGCCGCGGUAAUACGGGGGGUGCAAGCGUUACUCGGAAUCACUGGGCGUAAAGGGAGCGUAGGCGUUUUAUUAAGUCUUGAGUGAAAGCUCGCAGCUCAACUGCGGAACUGCUCAGGAAACUGAUAGAAUUGAGUAUGGAAGAGGUAGGUGGAAUUUCCGGUGUAGGGGGUAAAAUCCGUAGAUAUCGGAAGGAAUACCAGAAGCGAAGGCGACCUACUGGGACAUUACCGACGCUGAGGCUCGAAAGCGUGGGGAGCAAACAGGAUUAGAUACCCUGGUAGUCCACGCCCUAAACGAUGAACACUAGUCGUUACGGAGCUAGUCUCUGUAGUGACGCAGCUAACGCAUUAAGUGUUCCGCCUGGGGAGUACGGUCGCAAGAUUAAAAACUCAAAUGAAUUGACGGGGUCAUAGCUGUUUCCU